GAUGAACGCUGGCGGCGUGCUUAACACAUGCAAGUCGAACGGUAAGGCCCUUCGGGGUACACGAGUGGCGAACGGGUGAGUAACACGUGGGUGAUCUGCCCUACACUUCGGGAUAAGCCUGGGAAACUGGGUCUAAUACCGGAUAGGACCCUGGGAUGCAUGUCCUGGGGUGGAAAGCUUUUGCGGUGUGGGAUGGGCCCGCGGCCUAUCAGCUUGUUGGUGGGGUGAUGGCCUACCAAGGCGACGACGGGUAGCCGGCCGGAGAGGGUGACCGGCCACAAUGGGACUGAGAUACGGCCCAGAGUCCUACGGGAGGCAGCAGUGGGGAAUAUUGCACAAUGGGCGCAAGCCUGAUGCAGCGACGCCGCGUGAGGGAUGACGGCCUUCGGGUUGUAAACCUCUUUCAGCACCGACGAAGCGCAAGUGACGGUAGGUGCAGAAGAAGGACCGGCCAACUACGUGCCAGCCGCCGCCGUAA
Molecule: ribosomal RNA, 478 nt
Filed under: uncultured bacterium
Lineage: Bacteria
Description: partial 16S ribosomal RNA
Rfam family: Bacterial small subunit ribosomal RNA
Source: RNAcentral